GUUCCGGGGUUCUUUGUUUUCCUUGUGGGAGUCUGUUUGCUGCUUCUCACCAUCUAGCCACCAGAUAGCGCCAGACUCACCUCUCUCCGGAGUGGUGUGUCGUCAUCCUGCGCACCUGAGAUCAAUCUGCUCGUCAGGCGAGGUGUACAAGAGGAGCUGACUGCCAGUACUUCGAUGCCUGAGUGUUAGCCAGUAACGGUCCUCCUGGAUUUCCUGGUUGGCAGUCACGCCGUCCCUCCGUCACCACUGCAUCUGAGCCUACCUGUCCGUCCUCUGUUCCACUUCCUCGUUGCCUUCUGGACUUCUGUGGCUGAGCUCUGGACUAUCUGGACCCACAAAGUGACCAAGUCCCCGGACACUUCAGCAAACCCCUCCUAAACUCCGAACCUCCGUCUAACAAUGAGCCGAGCGUUUCUGUGAGCCCGCUUCUCCCCUGGACGAGACCCGUCGCUUCACUAUUUUUUUCUAGUUUGUGUUCUCAAUAAACUCACUUCAUUAUAUACGUGUCUCCUGUGUUGUGUUCUGCAUGUGGGCUGGAAAUAUUGAACCCAUCA
Xiphophorus hellerii (green swordtail) is the source of this 554-nucleotide long non-coding RNA. RefSeq lists it as uncharacterized. The record is from RefSeq and is a predicted model, not a curated record. The transcript is spliced from 3 exons. NCBI's taxonomy places the organism in Eukaryota, Metazoa, Chordata, Actinopteri, Cyprinodontiformes, Poeciliidae.